RNAcentral lists this ribosomal RNA (752 nucleotides) under uncultured Methanofollis sp. Its description in RNAcentral is "bacterial SSU rRNA". It matches the Rfam family "Archaeal small subunit ribosomal RNA", at positions 102 to 859 of the family's 1478-position model. The record is from RNAcentral. Lineage: Archaea; Methanobacteriati; Methanobacteriota; Methanomicrobia; Methanomicrobiales; Methanomicrobiaceae.
GGACAACCUGCCCUGCGGUGAGGGAUAACUCCGGGAAACUGGAGAUAAUACCUCAUAGUUUACCAUCGCUGGAAUGCCUGGUAAGCGAAAGGUCCGCCGCCACAGGAUGGGUCUGCGGCCGAUUAGGUUGUUGUUGGGGUAACGGCCCAACAAGCCUGUGAUCGGUACGGGUUGUGGGAGCAAGAGCCCGGAGAUGGAUUCUGAGACACGAAUCCAGGCCCUACGGGGCGCAGCAGGCGCGAAAACUUUACAAUGCAGGCAACUGUGAUAAGGGAACCCCGAGUGCCCGUAUGGACGGGCUGCCCAGGUGCUUAAAAACCACCUGGAGAAAGGGCCGGGCAAGACCGGUGCCAGCCGCCGCGGUAAUACCGGCGGCUCGAGUGGUGGCCACUAUUACUGGGCUUAAAGCGUCCGUAGCUUGGUCGUUAAGCCUCUGGGGAAAUCUUCCGGCUCAACCGGAAGGCGUCUCAGGGGAACUGGCGGCCUAGGGAUCGGGAGAGGUGAGAGGUACUCUGGGGGUAGGAGUGAAAUCCUGUAAUCCUCAGGGGACCACCUGUGGCGAAGGCGUCUCACCAGAACGACUCCGACAGUGAGGGACGAAAGCUGGGGGAGCAAACCGGAUUAGAUACCCGGGUAGUCCCAGCCGUAAACGAUGCGCGUUAGGUGUAUCGGUGACCACGAGUUACCGAGGUGCCGAAGGGAAACCGUGAAACGCGCCGCCUGGGAAGUACGGUCGCAAGGCUGAAACUUAA